AUCACCUAAAAUUAAUUUUGUGAACAUAAUUAUUAUGAUGUUGCGACAGGUCCAAUUUAUGUGAGCUAAGGAAAUAAUUACUUUUACUAUGAGGCGGGCUUAUAAAUGAUAUAAUGCCUAUAAUGUAGACAACACACUAAACCCUAACAUGUGGCUAUAUUUACCUUGUGCACUUAUACAGGCCAAUCUGCUGCAAUCACUUGGUUGUGAGAUGGCUACAAUGAUGUUGUUGAUAAAAAGGUUUUAAGUGUGGGAACCACAGAUGGGAAAAAAUUUCUUCAAUCUCACCCUGCAAUCCUGUCAUCCUUCAGCUCCUACUUUCUGUAUGAUGACUUGUCCAAGAAACAAUUUGCUACCCCAGCCACUGCAGCCUCGUCAAGUACAACCAGUCUCAACACAAAUUCCAGCUCAUUCAAUGUUACCUCAACAAACGCAAACCCAAUCAACACCACCUCAUCUACUACAUCCAAAGCUGUUAUUUCCACUGUGAAGAAAUCAACCACUAAAACUACAACCAAAGCAACACCUUCUGGAAUCUUGUCCAAUCAAGCUAUUUCUAACACUGAUACCGUCAGUACGAUUUUUAUGAAAGGCAGAGAUGGAAGUAUUGUUGCAACAGGUACAGUGCUUCCUGGUGUACAUAAAACCAUUCAUGGUCGUCCUUGCCAAAAAGAUUGUGAAACGCUUUCCGUUGUGGAUGUUGUACAAGUUGGUGCUGAAGCUUGGUUUGAAGAUGCUUUGGGGGAAAAUAAAUUGAGCACAGGGAUCAUCGUGGAAUGGCCGAGCAGUAUGAUAUCAAACGUAGCUGAUGUCUCCCCACUUCAUACAAGAACUAAUCGCAAACGUAAAUAACCAGCUGACUAUAAAACUACUAUGAUAAUUGUUAUAAUUAUUGUAUAUACAAUUGUAAUAGGAAUGGUAAAGGUUUCCUUCCAUUUUAUUCGCGAUUCUAUAUUCUCUCUAUCUUGUGUACUGUAUACGUAAGUAAGAUUACGUUAUUAUUGUUUGUACGUACGUAUAUAAUUAUGUAUGUACAAUUGUAUGUAUGACAUAGAUAAUAAUUUAUGUCCGAGUUUAGGACUAUAUAUAUAAUUGUCAAAACUA
This is a long non-coding RNA of Halichondria panicea, 1104 nucleotides long. RefSeq lists it as uncharacterized. The record is from RefSeq and is a predicted model, not a curated record. The transcript is spliced from 2 exons. NCBI's taxonomy places the organism in Eukaryota, Metazoa, Porifera, Demospongiae, Suberitida, Halichondriidae.